RNAcentral lists this unclassified non-coding RNA (235 nucleotides) under Paraglomerales sp. RNAcentral's name for it is "partial contains 5.8S ribosomal RNA and internal transcribed spacer 2". The stretch from base 1 to 65 matches the Rfam family "5.8S ribosomal RNA", at positions 84 to 154 of the family's 154-position model. Lineage: Eukaryota; Fungi; Glomeromycota; Glomeromycetes; Paraglomerales. The record is from RNAcentral.
GUGAAUCAUCGAAUUUUUGAACGCAAAUUGCGCCUUUUUCGGAAGGCAUGUCUGUUUGAGGGCACCAUUUAACAAAUAAUGUGCAUGCUGUGUGUAUUUUUACGCAUACGUGCACACGUUGAUGAGCUUUUCCAAAAAAAGAAAAUUUUUUGAUGGCAUGUAAUGAAAAGCGUGAGCUUUUCUCCAGUUUUUCUGAGAGUAGUAAAAUUCUUUUUCGGAGCUUGGGUCUUUUGAA